Molecule: long non-coding RNA, 342 nt
Filed under: Mytilus galloprovincialis (Mediterranean mussel)
Lineage: Eukaryota; Metazoa; Mollusca; Bivalvia; Mytilida; Mytilidae
Source: RNAcentral
AUGCCCAUCGUGACGUCAAUCGCUAAUCUAUGUCCGUAAAAACUGAUUCGGCCUCAAAUCUGUGUCCGAUUUUCAUUCGCGACGUCAAUCGCAAAUCUAUAUGUCCGUUGUAAAAAGAUAAGAUCUAAAAUCUGUGUAAUGUUUUAUUUUUUUCCAAUUUGUUUCGCCAUGCGCAAAUGUAUGCCCGUCUAAUAAGUUCGGCCUUAUAGGUUUUUUAUUUUAUUAAGUAAUUUCCCAUAAUUCAAUAUUAAGUUGGUAUGUGUUCUCCAUGUAUGUGAAAGAGCUGAAGUAUAGUAUACGUUUAAGAAAAUCCGGCGAAAUUAUUUAGCUGGUAUUUAUAAU